CCUACGGGCGGCUGCAGUGGGGAAUAUUGGACAAUGGGCGCAAGCCUGAUCCAGCAAUGCCGCGUGUGUGAAGAAGGCCUGCGGGUUGUAAAGCACUUUCAGUGGGGAAGAACGGAUACGGGCCAAUACCCCGCAUCACUGACGUUACCCACAGAAGAAGCACCGGCUAACUCCGUGCCAGCAGCCGCGGUAAUACGGAGGGUGCAAGCGUUAAUCGGAAUCACUGGGCGUAAAGCGCACGUAGGCGGCCCGCUAAGUCAGAUGUGAAACCCCUGGGCUCAACCUGGGAAUGGCAUUUGAUACUGGCAAGCUCGAGUCCGAGAGAGGGGGGUGGAAUUCCAGGUGUAGCGGUGAAAUGCGUAGAUAUCUGGAGGAACACCGGUGGCGAAGGCGGCCCCCUGGCUCGUGACUGACGCUGAGGUGCGAAAGCGUGGGUAGCAAACAGGAUUAGAUACCCGUGUAGUC
This 465-nucleotide ribosomal RNA is filed under the name uncultured Chromatiaceae bacterium. RNAcentral's name for it is "bacterial SSU rRNA". It matches the Rfam family "Bacterial small subunit ribosomal RNA", at positions 338 to 795 of the family's 1533-position model. The record is from RNAcentral. Lineage: Bacteria; Pseudomonadati; Pseudomonadota; Gammaproteobacteria; Chromatiales; Chromatiaceae.